This 105-nucleotide small nucleolar RNA is filed under the name Falco tinnunculus (common kestrel). Its description in RNAcentral is "Small nucleolar RNA SNORD125 (ENSFTIG00000008004.1)". It matches the Rfam family "Small nucleolar RNA SNORD125". Lineage: Eukaryota; Metazoa; Chordata; Aves; Falconiformes; Falconidae. The record is from Rfam by way of RNAcentral.
UCUGGGGACAGCCUCCCAUGAUGACCUUUCUCUCUCUGACGGCUGUGGUGGUGAUGAUCAUCAAACCAAAGCCUCUAAGAAGUUGACUGAAGAGGCUGUUGCUCU